GAGUUUGAUCAUGGCUCAGAAUCAACGCUGGCGGCGUGCCUAAUACAUGCAAGUCGUACGCGAAGACCCCGCAAGGGGUGUAUAGCGUGGCAAACGGGUGAGUAACGCGUGGGCGACCUGCCUUCGAGUGGGGGAUAACCUUCCGAAAGGAGGGCUAAUACCGCAUGACAUACCGCGCUUGGAUGCGUGGAUAUCAAAGCCGGGGAUCGCAAGACCUGGCGCUUGAAGAGGGGCCUACGUCCGAUUAGCUAGUUGGUGGGGUAACGGCCUACCAAGGCGACGAUCGGUAUCCGGCCUGAGAGGGCGGACGGACACACUGGAACUGAGACACGGUCCAGACUCCUACGGGAGGCAGCAGUAGGGAAUUGUUCGCAAUGGGCGCAAGCCUGACGACGCAACGCCGCGUGGAGGAUGAAGGGCUUCGGCUCGUAAACUCCUUUCGACCGAGAUGAAUACCCAUGGGGCUAAUAUCCCUGUGGACUGACAGUAUCGAGGGAAGAAGCCCCGGCUAACUCCGUGCCAGCAGCCGCGGUAAUACGGGGGGGGCAAGCGUUGUUCGGAAUUACUGGGCGUAAAGGGUUCGUAGGUGGCCAACUAAGUCAGACGUGAAAUCCCUCAGCUUAACUGAGGAACUGCGUCUGAUACUGGAUGGCUUGAGUGCAGGAGAGGAGCGCGGAAUUCCCGA
RNAcentral lists this ribosomal RNA (685 nucleotides) under uncultured bacterium. RNAcentral describes it as "bacterial SSU rRNA". It matches the Rfam family "Bacterial small subunit ribosomal RNA", at positions 9 to 673 of the family's 1533-position model. The record is from RNAcentral.